AGCAUGAAAGUUUGCUUGCAAACUUUUGAUGGCGACCGGCGCACGGGUGAGUAACACGUAUCCAACCUGCCUCAUACUCGGGGAUAGCCUUUCGAAAGAAAGAUUAAUACCCGAUGUCAUAGUCCUACCGCAUGAUGGGAUUAUUAAAGAAUUUCGGUAUGGGAUGGGGAUGCGUUCCAUUAGUUAGUUGGCGGGGUAACGGCCCACCAAGACAACGAUGGAUAGGGGUUCUGAGAGGAAGGUCCCCCACAUUGGAACUGAGACACGGUCCAAACUCCUACGGGAGGCAGCAGUGAGGAAUAUUGGUCAAUGGACGAGAGUCUGAACCAGCCAAGUAGCGUGAAGGAUGACUGCCCUACGGGUUGUAAACUUCUUUUAUAUGGGAAUAAAAUGUUCCACGUGUGGGAUUUUGUAUGUACCAUAUGAAUAAGGAUCGGCUAACUCCGUGCCAGCAGCCGCGGUAAUACGGAGGAUCCGAGCGUUAUCCGGAUUUAUUGGGUUUAAAGGGAGCGUAGGUGGAUUGUUAAGUCAGUUGUGAAAGUUUGCGGCUCAACCGUAAAAUUGCAGUUGAAACUGGCAGUCUUGAGUACAGUAGAGGUGGGCGGAAUUCGUGGUGUAGCGGUGAAAUGCUUAGAUAUCACGAAGAACUCCGAUUGCGAAGGCAGCUCACUGGACUGCAACUGACACUGAGGCUCGAAAGUGUGGGUAUCAAACA
This 715-nucleotide ribosomal RNA is filed under the name uncultured bacterium. RNAcentral's name for it is "bacterial SSU rRNA". It matches the Rfam family "Bacterial small subunit ribosomal RNA", at positions 65 to 774 of the family's 1533-position model. The record is from RNAcentral.